GGAAGAGGGGGAGGGGCGCCCCAAGCGAUUUAACCCUGGAGCGCCGCUCGUGUGAGGCGCAGGUGGGCGCCCGGGUGCGAGUGGGACUCUGCUCGCCUGGCGGGCCGCGUCCGCCUGCCCAGUGGCCAUGAUAGUGUUUGUCAGGUUCAACUCUAACCACGGGUUCCCAGUGGAAGUCGAUUCUGACACCAGCAUCUUCCAGCUCAAGGAGCUGGUUGCUACGCGACAGGGGGUUCCAGCUGACCAGUUGUGUGUGAUUUUCGCAGGGAAGGAGCUUCAGAAUGACUUGACAGUGCAGAGCUGUGACCUGGAUCAGCAGAGCAUCGUUCACAUUGUGCUGAGACCGCGGAGAAAAGGCCCAGAAGGGCACAGCCCACGGCCCACAUGGGGGCGCUCUGACAGGGAGCCCCAGAGCCUGACUCGCGUGGACCUCAGCAGCUCGGUGCUCCCCGCCGACUCGGUGGGCCUGGCUGUUAUACUGCAGGACGGCGAGGAGAGCGGUGCCUCAUCAGCCCGCAGGCCAGCAGGUAGACCGACCUACAACAGCUUUUAUGUCUACUGCAAAGGCCCGUGUCAAGGAGUGCAGCCGGGAAAGCUCAGGGUGCGUUGCAGCACCUGCCAACAAGCAACACUCACCUUGGCCCAGGGUCCUUCUUGCUGGGAAGAUGUCUUAAUCCCAAACCGAAUGAGUGGUGAAUGCCAGUCUCCAAACUGCCCUGGGACCAGAGCGGAGUUUUUCUUUAAAUGUGGAGCACACCCGACCUCUGACAAGGAAACAUCAGUAGCUUUGAACCUGAUCACAACAAACAGUCGAGACAUCAGCUGCAUAACGUGUACGGACAUCAGGAGCCCCGUCCUGGUUUUCCAGUGCACACACCGCCACGUGAUCUGCUUGGACUGUUUCCACCUGUACUGCGUGACCAGACUCAAUGAUCGGCAGUUUGUCCACGAUCCGCAGCUUGGCUACUCUCUGCCUUGUGUGGCUGGCUGUCCCAACUCCUUGAUUAAAGAGCUCCAUCACUUCAGGAUUCUUGGAGAAGAGCAGUACAACCGGUACCAGCAGUACGGGGCGGAAGAGUGCGUGCUGCAGUUAGGGGGCGUGCUCUGCCCCGGCCCGGGCUGCGGGGCCGGGCUGCUUCCAGAGCCCGGCCAGCGGAAGGUCUCCUGCGAGCCGGGCCGCGGCCUGGGCUGCGGGUUCGUCUUCUGCCGGGACUGUAAGGAACCGUACCACGAGGGUGACUGCGGCACCGUGGUUGAAGCCUCAGGAACAGUCACUCAGGCCUACAGAGUCGAUGAGAAGGCGGCAGAGCAGGCCCGGUGGGAGGAAGCCUCCAGAGAAACAAUCAAGAAGACCACCAAGCCCUGUCCCCACUGCCACGUGCCGGUAGAAAAAAAUGGGUCUCCAGCGUGGACAGAAGAGAGCCGACACUGAGUGGAAGUGAGCACGCGUAGAGGUGAGUGUGAGCCAGCAGAUGCGGUGUGCGGGUGCAUGCUUCCCACCCCCAGUCACCCUCGCCAGGCCACUUCUGCACCACGGAGAGGAUCCAUGUCAGCUUCGAAAAGAAAACCGUGUCUCAAAACAACGCUGGGCCUGCCUUCAGAUGACCCACUUCGCUCAGUCGUGUCCGACUCUUUGUGAUCCCGUGGACUGCAGCCCGCCAGGUUCCUCUUGACUCAGAUGAUGAUGAAACAUGGUAGAGACACUCUGCUGCUUCUUGCAAAGGACUUUUGCCAGGUGGAUUUGAACAAGGGUGCUGACCACCGUUCCCCCUGAGCCCAGGACCCAGAGGUUCCUGCACAGAAACUGGGUCUGUCCUGGGCAAAGAGGAUGAGUUGGUCUCCCUGCUGUGGACCACCUCUCGGGGAGCCAGGUGCGGGGAGCAGCAUAGACCCGGGGACGAGCCUCUCGCAGGCCCAGCAGGCUUGGCUAAUGUCACUGCUCUGGCCCUGCCUGAAAUUCCCCCUGAUCCUCCCUCAAGCCAAAACAGUCAACACGGAUACCUCCCAAGGACUUUGUCCCACCCAGAAGUGUUAGUCGCUCAGUCAUGUCCAACUCUUUGUGGCCCCAUGGAGUGGGUACCCAUUCCCUCCUCCAGGGGAUUUUCCUGACCCAGGAAUCAAACCCAGGUCUCCUGCAUUGCAGGCAGAUUCUUUCCUGUCUGAGCCACCUUCUCUGGAGGAUCAGCUAAACCCAUAGAAAGCCCUGGACUCUUAACCACGUGGUACUUGAGAAUCCCUGAAUUCUGAAAUGCCUCUCUGCAUUAGCAGCUGACUUUAUUUUCAGGUCCGUUUGUCAUGGAGACAUUCCGAUUUCGUGAUUUCACACGAGCCCUGUGCAUUGACCACCGUUGAGUCAGCACUGCCUCCUUCCCUGAUGACAUCUGAGGCCCAUCAGCUGCUCCCUCCAAUCCAGCGGGCCUCACUCAGGGUCCCUGUCUCAGCCAAACCUUUCCCGGCCAACCCAUCCUCGACUGUCCAGACCACUGCCCCCGCCCCAACCCCUCCCCGCCCAGCUUGCUUUUUCUCCAUUGUGCUCCUUUGUAUCUGACAUCACUUCAGUUCAGUUCAGUUCAGUCACUCAGUCGUGUCCGACUCUUUGCGACCCCUUGAAUCACAGCACGCCAGGCCUCCCUGUCCUUCAGUA
This is an RNA transcript of Bubalus bubalis (water buffalo), 2644 nucleotides long. It is a transcript of the gene named parkin RBR E3 ubiquitin protein ligase, with no coding region annotated. The record is from RefSeq and is a predicted model, not a curated record. NCBI's taxonomy places the organism in Eukaryota, Metazoa, Chordata, Mammalia, Artiodactyla, Bovidae. The transcript has 14 exons.